This is a long non-coding RNA of Nyctereutes procyonoides (raccoon dog), 571 nucleotides long. RefSeq lists it as uncharacterized. Lineage: Eukaryota; Metazoa; Chordata; Mammalia; Carnivora; Canidae. The transcript has 2 exons. The record is from RefSeq and is a predicted model, not a curated record.
GCGCGCCCUCUUGCGGCGCGGGGUAAGUGGCUUCCCUGGCGCGCGAGGGCGCGCGUGGAGACGCGUCGGCGCUGGACGACUGCGGGCGGGCCCGGGCGGGGAGCUUCGCAAGCUGGCCUCGUCUUCCUGUCAGAGAUACUGACUUCUGCAGUUGGUGUUGCUCCGUCGAGGCUUGAGAGGCGAGGCCGACAAAGGCUUCUUCCCACCCCCCGGGCUCCCUGGGAACGUUGUUGUGGAAUGGCGACUGACUCCUCGUGACCUUCCGGAACUCAGAAGCCUCGAAUUCUUGGUACUUUAUUUUGAGACAUUUCUUGCCUUCGUUUUAACCGUUGUCUGAUAAAAAGAAGUAUGUCGGUGAAACCCUGCAUUUCCGUAUUUUACAACGAUGACCUUUGUGUAAAUUUUACUGUCUGCUUAAUCCGCCAAAGUCAUUAAUUUCAAUAAGAUUUAUGUAAUUUGCAAGAAUGUGUUUUUCAAAAUGUUUGUCCCCCAAAGGCCUUUUUUUUUCCCUGAGUAAAUUUAAGAAUGCCAUUUCAGUUUAUUUUAAAGAAAUAAAGUCAGUGAUUUUUGA